AAACCGACACAGGUGGGUGAGGAGAGUAUCCUAAGGCCAGCGAGAGAACUGUUGUUAAGGAACUCGGCAAAAUGACCCCGUAACUUAGGGAUAAGGGGUGCCACCAUCAGGUGGCCGCAGAGAAUAGGCCCAAGCGACUGUUUACCAAAAACAUAGGUUUCUGCUAAGUCGCAAGACGAUGUAUAGGAGCUGACGCCUGCCCGGUGCUGGAAGGUUAAGGGGAUCUGUUAGAGCAAUCGAAGCAGUGAACUUAAGCCCCAGUAAACGGCGGCCGUAACUAUAACGGUCCUAAGGUAGCGAAAUUCCUUGUCGGGUAAGUUCCGACCCGCACGAAAGGCGUAACGAUUUGGGCACUGUCUCAACAACAGACUCGGUGAAAUUGUAAUUCCGGUGAAGAUGCCGGAUACCUGCGACAGGACGGAAAGACCCCAUGGAGCUUUACUGUAGCUUGACAUUGGGUCUUGGUACUACAUGUACAGGAUAGGUGGGAGGCUUUGAAACCAGGACGCCAGUUUUGGCGGAGCCAUCCUUGGGAUACCACCCUUGUAGUACUGGGACUCUAACCAUAGACCAUGAAUCUGGUCUUGGGACACUGUCAGGUGGGCAGUUUGACUGGGGCGGUCGCCUCCCAAAAGGUAACGGAGGCGCUCAAAGGUUCUCUCAGUACGGUCGGCAAUCGUACGUAGAGUGUAAAGGCAAAAGAGAGCUUGAUUGCAAGACAUACAGGUCGAGCAAGGAUGAAAAUCGGACUUAGUGAUCCGGUGGUUCUGCGUGGAAGGGCCAUCGCUCAACGGAUAAAAGCUACCCUGGGGAUAACAGGCUUAUCUCCCCCAAGAGUCCACAUCGACGGGGAGGUUUGGCACCUCGAUGUCGGCUCAUCACAUCCUGGGGCUGUAGUAGGUCCCAAGGGUUGGGCUGUUCGCCCAUUAAAGUGGUACGCGAGCUGGGUUCAGAACGUCGUGAGACAGUUCGGUCCCUAUCCGUCGCAGGCGUAGGAAAUUUGAGAAGACCUGUCCUUAGUACGAGAGGACCGGGAUGGACGUACCUCUGGUGUACCAGUUGU
Molecule: ribosomal RNA, 1063 nt
Filed under: Clostridioides difficile
Lineage: Bacteria; Bacillati; Bacillota; Clostridia; Peptostreptococcales; Peptostreptococcaceae
Description: bacterial LSU rRNA
Rfam family: Bacterial large subunit ribosomal RNA
Source: RNAcentral